This 482-nucleotide ribosomal RNA is filed under the name uncultured bacterium. RNAcentral describes it as "partial 16S ribosomal RNA". It matches the Rfam family "Bacterial small subunit ribosomal RNA", at positions 30 to 507 of the family's 1533-position model. The record is from RNAcentral.
AUUGAACGCUGGCGGCAUGCCUUACACAUGCAAGUCGAACGGUAACGGGCCUUCGGUUGCCGACGAGUGGCGAACGGGUGCGUAAUACUUCGGAACGUGCCCGAUCGCGGGGGGAAACGGGUCGCAAGCGUUGCUAAUACCGCAUACGAUCUACGAAUGAAAGCAGGGGACCGCAAUGGCUUGCGCGGACGGAGCGGCCGCUGGCAGAUUAGGUAGCUGGUGGGUUAAAAGCUUACCAAGCCGACGAUAAGUAGCUGAACUGAGAGGAUGAUCAGCCACACUGGGACUGAGACACGGCCCAGACUCCUACGGGAGGCAGCAGUGGGGAAUUUUGGGCAAUGGGCGAAAGCCUGAUCCAGCAAUGCCGCGUGCAGGAUGAAGGCCUUCGGGUUGUAAACUGCUGUUGUACGGAACGAAAAACCUUCUUUUUAUACAGGAGGGUCAUGACGGUACCGUAAGAAUAAGCACCGGCUAACUACGUG